GAUGAACGCUGGCGGCGUGCCUAAUACAUGCAAGUCGAGCGAACAGGCGAGGAGCUUGCUCCUCUGACGUUAGCGGCGGACGGGUGAGUAACACGUGGAUAACCUACCUAUAAGACUGGGAUAACUUCGGGAAACCGGAGCUAAUACCGGAUAAUAUAUUGAACCGCAUGGUUCAAUAGUGAAAGACGGUUUUGCUGUCACUUAUAGAUGGAUCCGCGCCGCAUUAGCUAGUUGGUAAGGUAACGGCUUACCAAGGCAACGAUGCGUAGCCGACCUGAGAGGGUGAUCGGCCACACUGGAACUGAGACACGGUCCAGACUCCUACGGGAGGCAGCAGUAGGGAAUCUUCCGCAAUGGGCGAAAGCCUGACGGAGCAACGCCGCGUGAGUGAUGAAGGUCUUCGGAUCGAAAAACUCUGUUAUUAGGGAAGAACAAAUGUGUAAGUAACUAUGCACGUCUUGACGGUACCUAAUCAGAAAGCCACGGCUAACUACGUG
RNAcentral lists this ribosomal RNA (497 nucleotides) under uncultured bacterium. Its description in RNAcentral is "partial 16S ribosomal RNA". It matches the Rfam family "Bacterial small subunit ribosomal RNA", at positions 28 to 507 of the family's 1533-position model. The record is from RNAcentral.